CCUACGGGUGGCAGCAGUGAGGAAUAUUGGUCAAUGGGCUUACGCCUGAACCAGCCAAGUCGCGUGAGGGAAGACUGCCCUAUGGGUUGUAAACCUCUUUUGUCAGGGAGCAACGCCGGCUACGUGUAGCCGGACUGAGAGUACCCGAAGAAAAAGCAUCGGCUAACUCCGUGCCAGCAGCCGCGGUAAUACGGAGGAUGCGAGCGUUAUCCGGAUUUAUUGGGUUUAAAGGGUGCGGAGUCGGAAUGCCAAGUCAGCGGUAAAAUCGCGGGGCUCAACCGCGCUCCGCCGUUGAGACUUGCGUUGUUGAGUGGGCGAGAAGUAAGCGGAAGUCGUGGUGUUGCGGUGAAAUGCUUAGAUAUCACGAAGAACUUCGAUUGCGAAGGCAGCUCACUGGACUGUAACUGACACUGAGGCUCGAAAGUGUGGGUAUCAAACAGGAUUAGAUACCCUUGUAGUC
This 460-nucleotide ribosomal RNA is filed under the name uncultured bacterium. RNAcentral describes it as "partial 16S ribosomal RNA". It matches the Rfam family "Bacterial small subunit ribosomal RNA", at positions 338 to 795 of the family's 1533-position model. The record is from RNAcentral.